ACGAACGCUGGCGGCGUGCCUAAUACAUGCAAGUAGAACGCUGAAGGAGGAGCUUGCUUCUCUGAAUGAGUUGCGAACGGGUGAGUAACGCGUAGGUAACCUGCCUGGUAGCGGGGGAUAACUAUUGGAAACGAUAGCUAAUACCGCAUAAGAGUAGAUGUUGCAUGACAUUUGCUUAAAAGGUGCAAUUGCAUCACUACCAGAUGGACCUGCGUUGUAUUAGCUAGUUGGUGGGGUAACGGCUCACCAAGGCGACGAUACAUAGCAGACCUGAGAGGGUGAUCGGCCACACUGGGACUGAGACCCGGCCCAGACUCCUACGGGAGGCAGCAGUAGGGAAUCUUCGGCAAUGGACGGAAGUCUGACCGAGCAACGCCGCGUGAGUGAAGAAGGUUUUCGGAUCGUAAAGCUCUGUUGUAAGAGAAGAACGAGUGUGAGAGUGGAAAGUUCACACUGUGACGGUAUCUUACCAGAAAGGGACGGCUAACUACGUG
RNAcentral lists this ribosomal RNA (494 nucleotides) under uncultured bacterium. RNAcentral's name for it is "partial 16S ribosomal RNA". It matches the Rfam family "Bacterial small subunit ribosomal RNA", at positions 29 to 507 of the family's 1533-position model. The record is from RNAcentral.